Molecule: ribosomal RNA, 497 nt
Filed under: uncultured bacterium
Lineage: Bacteria
Description: partial 16S ribosomal RNA
Rfam family: Bacterial small subunit ribosomal RNA
Source: RNAcentral
GAUGAACGCUGGCGGCGUGCCUAAUACAUGCAAGUCGAGCGAACAGACGAGGAGCUUGCUCCUCUGACGUUAGCGGCGGAUGGGUGAGUAACACGUGGAUAACCUACCUAUAAGACUGGGAUAACUUCGGGAAACCGGAGCUAAUACCGGAUAACAUGUUGAACCGCAUGGUUCAACAGUGAAAGACGGUCUUGCUGUCACUUAUAGAUGGAUCCGCGCCGCAUUAGCUAGUUGGUAAGGUAACGGCUUACCAAGGCAACGAUGCGUAGCCGACCUGAGAGGGUGAUCGGCCACACUGGAACUGAGACACGGUCCAGACUCCUACGGGAGGCAGCAGUAGGGAAUCUUCCGCAAUGGGCGAAAGCCUGACGGAGCAACGCCGCGUGAGUGAUGAAGGUCUUCGGAUCGUAAAACUCUGUUAUUAGGGAAGAACAAAUGUGUAAGUAACUAUGCACGUCUUGACGGUACCUAAUCAGAAAGCCACGGCUAACUACGUG